CGGGAAGAGCUCAAAUUUAAAAUCUGGCAGUGUAUUCUGUCCGAGUUGUAGUCUAGAGAAGCAUCAUCCGUGCUGGACCAUGUACAAGUCUUUUGAAACAAGGCAUCACAGAGGGUGAGAAUCCCGUCUUUGA
Molecule: ribosomal RNA, 133 nt
Filed under: Ceratobasidium sp.
Lineage: Eukaryota; Fungi; Basidiomycota; Agaricomycetes; Cantharellales; Ceratobasidiaceae
Description: partial large subunit ribosomal RNA
Source: RNAcentral